This 464-nucleotide ribosomal RNA is filed under the name uncultured bacterium. RNAcentral describes it as "partial 16S ribosomal RNA". It matches the Rfam family "Bacterial small subunit ribosomal RNA", at positions 28 to 507 of the family's 1533-position model. The record is from RNAcentral.
GACGAACGCUGGCGGCGUGCUUAACACAUGCAAGUCGAACGGAAAGGCCCUGCUUGCAGGGUACUCGAGUGGCGAACGGGUGAGUAACACGUGGGUGAUCUGCCCUGCACUUCGGGAUAAGCCUGGGAAACUGGGUCUAAUACCGGAUAGGAGCCAUUUUUAGUGUGAUGGUUGGAAAGUUUUUUCGGUGUAGGAUGAGCUCGCGGCCUAUCAGCUUGUUGGUGGGGUAAUGGCCUACCAAGGCGGCGACGGGUAGCCGGCCUGAGAGGGUGGACGGCCACAUUGAGACUGAGAUACGGCCCAGACUCCUACGGGAGGCAGCAGUGGGGAAUAUUGCACAAUGGGCGCAAGCCUGAUGCAGCGACGCCGCGUGGGGGAUGACGGCCUUCGGGUUGUAAACUCCUUUCGCUAGGGACGAAGCUUUUGUGACGGUACCUAGAUAAGAAGCACCGGCUAACUACGUG